AAAUUUUAAUUCGUUAUAACUUUUACCUCGAAUUUUCUAAAUUGUGACAAUCAAUCAAGUUCGAAAAUACAAUUUAGUCGGCUCAAUAUUGACGAGUUGUCGAUAUAAAAAGUGAUGCAGCAUCUUAAUUAUUAUUGCUACAUCACUUUUAUAUUAUCAAUUGUCAACAUUUAGUCAAGUAACCUGGGCUGUGGGACUUAAUUGUAACAAUUCAGAAAGUUCGACAAGAGAAUUUAAAUUAUAAUGAAUUAAAGUUUGAGUACUAUUUUGUCAUGCGCCUCAUAGUUUGAGGACCAAAAAUGUAAUUUACCCUAACAGAAAUUUAACAUCCUUUGCAGGAGAUUUUUCAUCUAAACGUAAAAUUAGUCUAGUUCCUACUUAUACAUAAGCUUGUAUCUAUUCCUGAAAUAAGCAGUUCUUAUUUAUAUCCGAACCAAACGCAGCCUUAAAGUUUUAACUUACAGAAUAUUACGUUA
Molecule: long non-coding RNA, 476 nt
Filed under: Ananas comosus (pineapple)
Lineage: Eukaryota; Viridiplantae; Streptophyta; Magnoliopsida; Poales; Bromeliaceae
Description: long non-coding RNA (ACOM_LNC030150)
Source: RNAcentral